RNAcentral lists this ribosomal RNA (253 nucleotides) under uncultured bacterium. Its description in RNAcentral is "partial 16S ribosomal RNA". It matches the Rfam family "Bacterial small subunit ribosomal RNA", at positions 524 to 776 of the family's 1533-position model. The record is from RNAcentral.
UACGGGGGGGGUAAGCGUUGUUCGGAAUUACUGGGCGUAAAGGGCUCGUAGGCGGCCAACUAAGUCAGACGUGAAAUCCCUCGGCUUAACCGGGGAACUGCGUCUGAUACUGGAUGGCUUGAAUCCGGGAGAGGGAUGCGGAAUUCCAGGUGUAGCGGUGAAAUGCGUAGAUAUCUGGAGAAACACCGGUGGCGAAGGCGGCAUCCUGGACCGGUAUUGACACUGAGGCGCGAAAGCCAGGGGAGCAAACGGG